GACGAACGCUGGCGGCGUGCUUAACACAUGCAAGUCGAACGGAAAGGCCCUGCUUUUGUGGGGUGCUCGAGUGGCGAACGGGUGAGUAACACGUGAGUAACCUGCCCUUGACUUUGGGAUAACUUCAGGAAACUGGGGCUCAUACCGGAUAGGAGCUCCUGCUGCAUGGUGGGGGUUGGAAAGUUUCGGCGGUUGGGGAUGGACUCGCGGCUUAUCAGCUUGUUGGUGGGGUAGUGGCUUACCAAGGCUUUGACGGGUAGCCGGCCUGAGAGGGUGACCGGCCACCUUGGGACUGAGAUACGGCCCAGACUCCUACGGGAGGCAGCAGUGGGGAAUAUUGCACAAUGGGCGGAAGCCUGAUGCAGCAACGCCGCGUGCGGGAUGACGGCCUUCGGGUUGUAAACCGCUUUCGCCUGUGACGAAGCGUGAGUGACGGUAAUGGGUAAAGAAGCACCGGCUAACUACGUG
Molecule: ribosomal RNA, 468 nt
Filed under: uncultured bacterium
Lineage: Bacteria
Description: partial 16S ribosomal RNA
Rfam family: Bacterial small subunit ribosomal RNA
Source: RNAcentral